This 433-nucleotide ribosomal RNA is filed under the name uncultured bacterium. RNAcentral describes it as "partial 16S ribosomal RNA". It matches the Rfam family "Bacterial small subunit ribosomal RNA", at positions 29 to 507 of the family's 1533-position model. The record is from RNAcentral.
AACGAACGCUGGCGGCAUGCCCAACACAUGCAAGUCGAACGAGACCUUCGGGUCUAGUGGCGCACGGGUGCGUAACGCGUGGGAACCUGCCCUUAGGUUCGGAAUAACUCCCCGAAAGGGGUGCUAAUACCGGAUAAUGUCUUCGGACCAAAGAUUUAUCGCCUUUGGAUGGGCCCGCGUUGGAUUAGCUAGUUGGUAGGGUAAAAGCCUACCAAGGCGACGAUCCAUAGCUGGUCUGAGAGGAUGAUCAGCCACACUGGGACUGAGACACGGCCCAGACUCCUACGGGAGGCAGCAGUGGGGAAUAGUGGACAAUGGGCGAAAGCCUGAUCCAGCAAUGCCGCGUGAGUGAUGAAGGCCUUAGGGUUGUAAAGCUCUUUUACCCGGGAUGAUAAUGACAGUACCGGGAGAAUAAGCUCCGGCUAACUCCGUG